GACGAACGCUGGCGGCGUGCUUAACACAUGCAAGUCGAACGGAAAGGCCCCUUUGGGGGUCCUCGAGUGGCGAACGGGUGAGUAACACGUGAGUAACCUGCCCUUGACUUCGGGAUAACUCCAGGAAACUGGGGCUAAUACCGGAUAGGAAUCCUUGCUGCAUGGUGGGGGUUGGAAAGCUUCGGCGGUUUUGGAUGGACUCGCGGCUUAUCAGCUUGUUGGUGGGGUAGUGGCUUACCAAGGCUUUGACGGGUAGCCGGCCUGAGAGGGCGACCGGCCACAUUGGGACUGAGAUACGGCCCAGACUCCUACGGGAGGCAGCAGUGGGGAAUAUUGCACAAUGGGCGGAAGCCUGAUGCAGCAACGCCGCGUGCGGGAUGACGGCCUUCGGGUUGUAAACCGCUUUCAGCAGGGGCGAAGCUUGUGGUGACGGUACCUGCAGAAGAAGCACCGGCUAACUACGUG
RNAcentral lists this ribosomal RNA (465 nucleotides) under uncultured bacterium. RNAcentral's name for it is "partial 16S ribosomal RNA". It matches the Rfam family "Bacterial small subunit ribosomal RNA", at positions 28 to 507 of the family's 1533-position model. The record is from RNAcentral.